RNAcentral lists this unclassified non-coding RNA (598 nucleotides) under Hevea brasiliensis (rubber tree). Lineage: Eukaryota; Viridiplantae; Streptophyta; Magnoliopsida; Malpighiales; Euphorbiaceae. The record is from RNAcentral.
UGUGAGAAAAAGAAGAAUCAACACCUGUGAAAAUCAAUCAGGGGAUUUAAAUAAAACCUGGUAACCAGCAUGGACUAUAACUUAAGGAAAAUCAGCUUUAUUCACUAACCUCCACGAUGGAUUCUAUUGCAAAAGAAAACAGUCAGGAGAAUAGCAAUCAAUGCACUAAGAAGUCAUACUUCCUUAUGGAACUCACUUGAAAUAUAAACCAUUUAUAAAAACCAACAAAUUAUCAAAAGUAAAUAGCAAAGGCAUCAAGCACAUCCAAGCAUCAUAUAAUCACUUGCAAUUGCAAAAACUCAAGAAGACCAUGUAACUUCAGACAUCAACCUUUGGCAGUUAAAAUUUGGGUAGACACUUAUAAAACACUAUCUAAAAUUUCAAAAACAAAAUACGUGAAUAAAAUUCAUCACUGUUUUCUAAUCAUCAAAUCAAUUGAAUUCACAGCACCAGAAUGCCUGAACUUCUAAAUUUCAUUUCACAUCAUCAAAUAAUUUAAAUUAUUAGACUAAAAUACCAUCAAAUAUAUAAAUAAUGAAAAUCUUUAUAAAAAUUUGUCUAAAAGCCCAGUACAUUUUUUUUAUUCAUCAAAUCCAAA